AUUGAACGCUGGCGGCAGGCUUAACACAUGCAAGUCGAGCGGGGUGAUGGUGCUUGCACUAUCACUUAGCGGCGGACGGGUGAGUAAUGCUUAGGAAUCUGCCUAUUAGUGGGGGACAACAUCUCGAAAGGGAUGCUAAUACCGCAUACGUCCUACGGGAGAAAGCAGGGGAUCACUUGUGACCUUUCGCUAAUAGAUGAGUCUAAGUCGGAUUAGCUAGUUGGUGGGGUAAAGGCCUACCAAGGCGACGAUCUGUAGCGGGUCUGAGAGGAUGAUCCGCCACACUGGGACUGGGACACGGCCCAGACUCCUACGGGAGGCAGCAGUGGGGAAUAUUGGACAAUGGGGGGAACCCUGAUCCAGCCAUGCCGCGUGUGUGAAGAAGGCCUUAUGGUUGUAAAGCACUUUAAGCGAGGAGGAGGCUCUUUUGGUUAAUACCCAAGAUGAGUGGACGUUACUCGCAGAAUAAGCACCGGCUAACUCUGUGCCAGCCGCCGCAGUAA
Molecule: ribosomal RNA, 503 nt
Filed under: uncultured bacterium
Lineage: Bacteria
Description: partial 16S ribosomal RNA
Rfam family: Bacterial small subunit ribosomal RNA
Source: RNAcentral